Molecule: ribosomal RNA, 253 nt
Filed under: uncultured bacterium
Lineage: Bacteria
Description: partial 16S ribosomal RNA
Rfam family: Bacterial small subunit ribosomal RNA
Source: RNAcentral
UACGUAGGGACCGAGCGUUGUCCGGAAUUAUUGGGCGUAAAGAGCUCGUAGGCGGUUCGGCAAGUCGGAUGUGAAAGCCCGGGGCUUAACCCCGGGUCUGCAUUCGAUACGGGCAGACUAGAGUGUGGUAGGGGAGAUCGGAAUUCCUGGUGUAGCGGUGAAAUGCGCAGAUAUCAGGAGGAACACCGGUGGCGAAGGCGGAUCUCUGGGCCAUUACUGACGCUGAGGAGCGAAAGCGUGGGGAGCGAACAGG